UGGGGAAUAUUGGACAAUGGGGGCAACCCUGAUCCAGCGACGCCGCGUGUGUGAAGAAGGCCUGCGGGUUGUAAAGCACUUCUAGUGGGGAUGAAAAGCCGAAGGCUAAUACCUUUCGGUCUUGACCUAACCCAAAGAAAAAGCACCGGCUAACUCUGUGCCAGCAGCCGCGGUAAUACAGAGGGUGCGAGCGUUAAUCGGAAUUACUGGGCGUAAAGCGUGCGUAGACGGUUAUUUAAGUCGGGUGUGAAAGCCCCGGGCUCAACCUGGGAAUUGCAUUCGAGACUGAAUAGCUAGGGUACGGUAGAGGGAAGUGGAAUUUCCGGUGUAGCGGUGAAAUGCGUAGAUAUCGGAAGGAACAUCAGUGGCGAAAGCGACUUCCUGGACCAGUACCGACGUUCAGGCACGAAAGCGUGGGGAGCAAAC
Molecule: ribosomal RNA, 426 nt
Filed under: uncultured bacterium
Lineage: Bacteria
Description: bacterial SSU rRNA
Rfam family: Bacterial small subunit ribosomal RNA
Source: RNAcentral